CGAACAAGGUCUCCGUUGGUGAACCAGCGGAGGGAUCAUUACCGAGUUUACAACUCCCAAACCCCUGUGAACAUACCACUUGUUGCCUCGGCGGAUCAGCCCGCUCCCGGUAAAACGGGACGGCCCGCCAGAGGACCCCUAAACUCUGUUUCUAUAUGUAACUUCUGAGUAAAACCAUAAAUAAAUCAAAACUUUCAACAACGGAUCUCUUGGUUCUGGCAUCGAUGAAGAACGCAGCAAAAUGCGAUAAGUAAUGUGAAUUGCAGAAUUCAGUGAAUCAUCGAAUCUUUGAACGCACAUUGCGCCUGCCAGUAUUCUGGCGGGCAUGCCUGUUCGAGCGUCAUUUCAACCCUCAAGCACAGCUUGGUGUUGGGACUCGCGUUAAUUCGCGUUCCCCAAAUUGAUUGGCGGUCACGUCGAGCUUCCAUAGCGUAGUAGUAAAACCCUCGUUACUGGUAAUCGUCGCGGCCACGCCGUUAAACCCCAACUUCUGAAUGUGACCUCGGAUCAGUAGGAUCCGU
This 521-nucleotide ribosomal RNA is filed under the name Fusarium oxysporum. RNAcentral's name for it is "eukaryotic LSU rRNA". The stretch from base 190 to 343 matches the Rfam family "5.8S ribosomal RNA". Lineage: Eukaryota; Fungi; Ascomycota; Sordariomycetes; Hypocreales; Nectriaceae. The record is from RNAcentral.